GGGCCCGCACAAGCGGUGGAGCAUGUGGUUUAAUUCGAUGCAACGCGAAGAACCUUACCAGGGCUUGACAUACUACAGAUUCUUUAGAGAUAGAGAAGUGCCUUCGGGAAUGUAGAUACAGGUGGUGCAUGGCUGUCGUCAGCUCGUGUCGUGAGAUGUUGGGUUAAGUCCCGCAACGAGCGCAACCCUUAUUUUUAGUUACCAAUUCGUUGGGUUCUCUAGAAAGACUGCCGGUGACAAACCGGAGGAAGGUGAGGAUGACGUCAAGUCAGCAUGCCCCUUAUGUCCUGGGCUACACACGUGCUACAAUGGUUAAGACAAAGAGUCGCGAGCUUGCAAAAGUCAGCUAAUCUCAUAAACUUAGCCUAAGUUCAGAUUGUAGGCUGCAACUCGCCUGCAUGAAGUUGGAAUCGCUAGUAAUCG
Molecule: ribosomal RNA, 423 nt
Filed under: uncultured bacterium
Lineage: Bacteria
Description: bacterial SSU rRNA
Rfam family: Bacterial small subunit ribosomal RNA
Source: RNAcentral